CCACGUAGGACUCAUAUGANAGUCGAGCGGAUGACGGGAGCUUGCUCCUUGAUUCAGCGGCGGACGGGUGAGUAAUGCCUAGGAAUCUGCCUGGUAGUGGGGGACAACGUUUCGAAAGGAACGCUAAUACCGCAUACGUCCUACGGGAGAAAGCAGGGGACCUUCGGGCCUUGCGCUAUCAGAUGAGCCUAGGUCGGAUUAGCUAGUUGGUGAGGUAAUGGCUCACCAAGGCGACGAUCCGUAACUGGUCUGAGAGGAUGAUCAGUCACACUGGAACUGAGACACGGUCCAGACUCCUACGGGAGGCAGCAGUGGGGAAUAUUGGACAAUGGGCGAAAGCCUGAUCCAGCCAUGCCGCGUGUGUGAAGAAGGUCUUCGGAUUGUAAAGCACUUUAAGUUGGGAGGAAGGGCAGUAAGUUAAUACCUUGCUGUUUUGACGUUACCGACAGAAUAAGCACCGGCUAACUCUGUGCCAGCAGCCGCGGUAAUACAGAGGGUGCAAGCGUUAAUCGGAAUUACUGGGCGUAAAGCGCGCGUAGGUGGUUCGUUAAGUUGGAUGUGAAAGCCCCGGGCUCAACCUGGGAACUGCAUCCAAAACUGGCGAGCUAGAGUACGGUAGAGGGUGGUGGAAUUUCCUGUGUAGCGGUGAAAUGCGUAGAUAUAGGAAGGAACACCAGUGGCGAAGGCGACCACCUGGACUGAUACUGACACUGAGGUGCGAAAGCGUGGGGAGCAAACAGGAUUAGAU
This 748-nucleotide ribosomal RNA is filed under the name Pseudomonas monteilii. RNAcentral's name for it is "bacterial SSU rRNA". It matches the Rfam family "Bacterial small subunit ribosomal RNA", at positions 42 to 783 of the family's 1533-position model. The record is from RNAcentral. Lineage: Bacteria; Pseudomonadati; Pseudomonadota; Gammaproteobacteria; Pseudomonadales; Pseudomonadaceae.